UUUUUUUUUUAUUUUGUUGAAAUGAUUGUGUUUUUUUUGAAUUUUCUGUUUGGCAGGAAAACCAUUUAUGAAUGAUUCAUAUGAUGCAUGUGGGAAUACAAAUGGGUAAUUGGAUAUUUUUGUAGGAUUUUUAUUUUGUUUCCAAUGAUAUAUUGUUGGGGAAUAUCAUCAUCAAAGGGUUGACGGAAAAUAAUUUGUCAUCGUCAAAGGGUUGCCGGGAACAAGUAAAGGAUGACAUCACCAAAGGGUUGGUGGAAAAGGAAU
This 264-nucleotide long non-coding RNA is filed under the name Lathyrus oleraceus (garden pea). RNAcentral describes it as "Pisum sativum (pea) long non-coding RNA (PSAT_LNC029869)". Lineage: Eukaryota; Viridiplantae; Streptophyta; Magnoliopsida; Fabales; Fabaceae. The record is from RNAcentral.